This 378-nucleotide unclassified non-coding RNA is filed under the name uncultured bacterium. Its description in RNAcentral is "contains 16S-23S intergenic spacer region". The record is from RNAcentral.
UCCAGUUUGACACUGGCAGUCCCUCUAGAGUGCCCAACUUAAUGAUGGCAACAAGAGGCGUGGGUUGCGCUCGUUACGGGACUUAACCCAACAUCUCACGACACGAGCUGACGACAGCCAUGCAGCACCUGUCUCUCCGUCCCCGAAGGGAAAGCCGACUUUCAUCGGUUGUCGAAGGAUGUCAAGACCAGGAUAAGGUUCUUCGCGUUGCGUCGAAUUAAACCACAUGCUCCACCGCUUGUGCGGGCCCCCGUCAAUUCCUUUGAGUUUCAGCCUUGCGGCCGUACUCCCCAGGCGGGGCACUUCAUGCGUUAGCGCCGGUACUCCAAGGGUCGCUCCCCGGAGCACCUAGUGCCCAUCGUUUACGGCGUGGACUAC